CCGGGCAGGCCUCCCCAGCUCCCCAACCCCGGGCGUCCGGCCGGCGCAGCUGUAGGGCCACCGAGCACCGAGCUCUGAACCCCAGCCGGCCCCGACGGUCGCUCAGUCAGCAGCGGCUUCCGCGUGCCCGCCCCCCAGAGGAGGGAGCCUCGGUCCUCGCACCGCGCGCGCAGCCGGCAGCGUCUCCUCCUCCUGCCGAGCGCCUAGCGGGAGGCGUCGGACUGCGCCAGGGCCGUGGCCGGGGCACCAGCCCUGGAAAGGCGCGCCGGGGUCCAAAUUCCAUAUAAGAGGCCGCCUCCCCGUGGGCUCUGCUAGGGCAGCGCCGGCCCGCGGCCUGCGCUCGGCCCCGCGGCUGACAUUGGGGCGCGCCCCACGGCGGACGGAGCCCGGGAGCCGCACACUUCCUCCAGCGAACGCGGCUGCGACGGUGGCUCCCUCCCGGCUCCGUCGGCGCCGGGCCGGGACCGGGGUGCGAGGGUCCUAGGAGGCUAGCGCGGCCGCGCCGAGGGUUGCUAGAUCCGGACGCGGCGAGCGAGGCGAGCCGGCGGGCCCCGAGCCGCGGCGCGGGCGUCCCCGGGCUGGCCGGCCGGGCUCAGGCGCGUCUGCGGGACGCGGGCGGGCCGACUCCGGGGCGCUGCGUGCGCGCCGGGGCAGUCAUUCAGAUGAAAUUCCAGUCCCCGGCCAGAGACACCAGCCCGCCUCUGCCUUCCUCCUCCCUUCACAAAUAGAAACGGAAGGGGGAGGGAGAGAAGUAGGGGAAAAAAAAAAAAAAAAAAAGGCAACCAGCGAGGGAGGGAGGGAGGAAGGGAGAAGCCCCGGAGGUGGCCGGCCCGACCCCCUCGUCGCUACUUCAGCGUUCCCCCGAGGCCCCGCGCCGGCUCGCCUCCCUCAGGAAGGGGCGCGGGGGUCGCCGCUGGGGCUGGGGGUGCGUCCCCGCGGCCCGCCGGUCGGCCCUGCUGCCUGCGCAGAGAGGAAGGGCGCCCUCGCCGCCGCCGCGCCGCCGCGAAGAGGGCGGGCGGGGGAGGGGCCACGGCCCACGGGACCGGCCGGAGGGGCACGCGGGGUCCCGCGUCUCCACGCCGCGGCCCGGACUCGGAGUACGCAGCCGUCCGCAUACAAUAGGGUCCAAGCAGGGUCCGUCCGGCAGGGUGGGGACGCGGGCGGGCAGGGGUCUGCAGAGAACCAGGAUCUCGGGCUGGGGGCGGGGAUGGUGGUGUCCCUACAUCAAGGCCUGUCCCGCUACUCGGGAAGGAGGCGGGGAGCCGGGAGGGGGGGAGGUGAGGAGAAAGCGGCAGGCGGCGCCUUUAAUCAGCACCCGCUGGUUCAGCCCACCCGGCACAAGCGGAAUAAACGGACGAGGGGGAGGGGAAGGGGCGGGGCGUACUUUCCGGAAGUGCUGUUACAGCUGUGA
RNAcentral lists this long non-coding RNA (1411 nucleotides) under Oryctolagus cuniculus (rabbit). Its description in RNAcentral is "lncRNA (ENSOCUG00000030429.1)". The record is from RNAcentral. Lineage: Eukaryota; Metazoa; Chordata; Mammalia; Lagomorpha; Leporidae.